GCGAGGAUGGCGGAAUCGGCAGACGCGCACGUUUGAGGGGCGUGUGGUUAUACCAUGCGAGUUCAAGUCUCGUUCCUCGCACCA
RNAcentral lists this transfer RNA (84 nucleotides) under Phocaeicola vulgatus. RNAcentral describes it as "Bacteroides vulgatus tRNA-Leu". It matches the Rfam family "tRNA". From Rfam's summary of the family: Transfer RNA (tRNA) molecules are approximately 80 nucleotides in length. Their secondary structure includes four short double-helical elements and three loops (D, anti-codon, and T loops). Lineage: Bacteria; Pseudomonadati; Bacteroidota; Bacteroidia; Bacteroidales; Bacteroidaceae. RNAcentral also lists the same sequence under 11 other names. The record is from RNAcentral.